This is an RNA transcript of Zea mays, 2367 nucleotides long. It is a transcript of the gene named Aconitate hydratase pseudogene, with no coding region annotated. The transcript has 13 exons. NCBI's taxonomy places the organism in Eukaryota, Viridiplantae, Streptophyta, Magnoliopsida, Poales, Poaceae. The record is from RefSeq and is marked validated.
AGAACACCUUCCUGACCCGAAUUCAAUCCGUGCGCAGGCACCCUCCGCCGGCGAUGGCUCACGCAUCGCUCGGCGCCCGCCCCACGUCCCCGAGGCGACGACCGGCACAACGCGCCCUCGCGGCGCUACCCGACACCUGCGACGAAACGCGCCAAGUUCAGGAGCGCGUCGACACAGGGGCUCGGGAACACGGUGUCGCCAUCGCGGAACCCUAGCGAGAUCGUCGGGAAGGUCCGAAGGUGAGCACGUGUUUGUGUAACCUUUGGCUCCGGUUCGCAAUGGUGGACGGCGAUGGUGACAGGGAACACCAGCAAUAGCCGGUUGUGGCAGCUGCCGCCGCGUCACAUAGCGCCGAGUUGGAGGGGCACAUCACGUGAAUAGAUCUGCGCAGUCUCGCAUCAUGGCAGUGCCGGCGGCCUCCCGGGCAUGGCGACUCUCCCCAGUCGACCAGGCACCUCUUCGUCCUUUGGGCCCGUACCCUCCGCUUCCUCGGGCGUGUCCGCCGGCCAUUUGGACGCCGUCAAACCGGUUGGCCGUGUCCGGGUCAUCUCCGCGCCCCUCCUCCAAAUGGCCAAACCCUACCUUGUUGUAGCUAGCCUACCCCUCCAGACGCCAUUAUCUUCUUGGUCAGUCCUGCCCACUACUCGUCUCAUCAGCCAAUGGGCAUGGUUUUGCCUGGUGUGGUUGGAUUCAAGUUGAGUGGGAAGUUAUAGGAUGGUGUCACUACUACUGACAUUGUUCUUACUAUGACCCAAAUGCUAAGGAAGCACGGUGCUAUUGGCAAAUUCGUUGAAUUCUAUGGUGUUGGUGUGGGCGAGCUAUCUUUGCCUGCUAGGGCCACAAUUGCCAACAUGUCUCCAGAAUAUGGAGCUACCAUGGGCUUCUUCCUUGUAGACAAGUAGCAUUGGACUAUCUCAAAUUGACAGGCCGAAGCGAUGAAACUGUGUCGAUGAUUGAAGCAUACCUGCGAGCUAACAAAAUGUUUGUGGACAAGCAUGAGCCUGAGACGGAACGAGUUUUCUCUUCAUAUCUGGAGCUGGACCUUAGUGAGGUGGAGCCUUGCGUUUCAGGCCCCAAAAGGCCUCAUGAUCGUGUCCCUUUGAAGGAAAUGAAGUCAGACUGGCAUGCUUGCCUGGACAACGAAGUUGGUUUCAAGGGCUAUGCGGUGCCAAAGGAACAGCAAGGCAAAGUUGUGAAAUUCAACUUCCAUGGAAGGCCAGCUGAAAUCAAGCAUGGCAGUGUUGUUCUUGCAGCAAUAUGCAGCUCCACAAACACAUCAAAUCCUAGCUUCAUGAUUGGUGCUGGCCUUGUGGAAGAAAGCAUGCGAAUUGGGCCUUGAGGUGAAGCCAUGGGUAAAGACAAGCCUUACCCCUGGAUCUGUGGUUGCUACUGAGUACUUGAAACAUAGUGGCCUUCAAGAUUAUCUGAACCAGCAAGGGUUCCAUGUCGCUGCGCAUGGCUGCGCCACUUGUGUGGGCAACUCUGGUGACCUGGAUGGAUCUGUAUCCGCUGCUAUCAUAGAAAAUGAUAUCGUUGCUGCUGCGGUGCUGUAUCCUACUACCUGCUCAACCUUGGGGACAGCAUCACCACGGACCACAUCUCCUACUCGGGGAAGAUCCCCGAGGGCACACCUGCGGCCAAGUAUCUGCUCGAGUAUGGCGUGGAGCCCAAGAACUUCAGCUCCUAUGGUGGCCGCCGCGGGAACAAUGAGGUGGUGAUGAGGGGAGCGUUUGCCAAUAUGAGGAUCGUGAAUAAGCUUCUUAAUGGCGAGGCUGGUCCCUGGACAAUCCAUGUUCCUACCGGGGAGAAGCUCUACGUUUACGACGCGGCAAUGAAAUGGAAGGAGAUGCUGUCAGUUUUACCCAAUUAUCGAGUGAAGGAGUAUAUGAAGAAACUUUACAAGACAUCUGUACAACCCUAGAUGAGUUGCAGUAGAUUCCACCCAUUAAGGACAAAUGGACAAUAAUCCAUCAUCGAAGCCAAAUCAUAAGCUAAAAGGUUGAGAAGAUGGUGCUUCUGGCAUGUGGAUGGCGCUAUACGAUUACUGUUUGUGACUCAAGUAAUCUAUACACUUAUGGUUGGCGCAAAUACGUUCAACUAGGACAUAUUGAUUUUGAAGAUGAUUUAGUUCCACAUAAACUAGAAGCAUUGAAAGAUAGCACUAUAUCUCAGGAAAAGAUAGAAUGGAACUCAAAUUUUGGUGGUUACACUGGUGUGGAGACUUGAAUUCAUGUAUACACUUAGUUAGACUCAAUGUUAGUGCAAACAGUUGAUGACCAAGUUUUUUAAUUAGUAUUUUAGUUUGGAUGUAUAGUACACUUAUGUAUGAGUUAUUUGACAAUGCUUAUUUAUGAGAUAUUGAAUGAC